CUUUAGUGAUCAUGAUGUCACAAAUUCAAAUAUUGGAAUCAAUAUCUCCGCUUGUUUGUUACGUACAUCUACCCUCCUCGUACCUACUAAGUAGGAGCCUCAUGCAUUGGACCGCCUUUUAUCAAAUAGUAUCCUUUUUAUGUUACAACCUUAUAUGUAGAAAAAGAUGAUAACAUGCACGCAUUGUGUUAAACAUUAAGCUAGUUCCUUUCAUGCCAACACAAAAGCAUAGCUAUGCAACGACGAAGAAUGUAGAAUUUUGCUCUUUGCUUCUUCACAAGGUGACUACACUUCUGGCCAAAAGACUUGCAAGGAUCACAAGCUUGUUGUUG
This 332-nucleotide long non-coding RNA is filed under the name Lupinus angustifolius (narrow-leaved blue lupine). RNAcentral's name for it is "long non-coding RNA (LANG_LNC002739)". The record is from RNAcentral. Lineage: Eukaryota; Viridiplantae; Streptophyta; Magnoliopsida; Fabales; Fabaceae.